GACGAACGCUGGCGGCGUGCUUAACACAUGCAAGUCGAACGAAGAGCGAUGGAAGCUUGCUUCUAUCAAUCUUAGUGGCGAACGGGUGAGUAACGCGUAAUCAACCUGCCCUUCAGAGGGGGACAACAGUUGGAAACGACUGCUAAUACCGCAUACGAUCUAAUCUCGGCAUCGAGGAUAGAUGAAAGGUGGCCUCUACAUGUAAGCUAUCACUGAAGGAGGGGAUUGCGUCUGAUUAGCUAGUUGGAGGGGUAACGGCCCACCAAGGCGAUGAUCAGUAGCCGGUCUGAGAGGAUGAACGGCCACAGUGGGACUGAGACACGGCCCAGACUCCUACGGGAGGCAGCAGUGGGGAAUCUUCCGCAAUGGACGAAAGUCUGACGGAGCAACGCCGCGUGAGGGAUGACGGCCUUCGGGUUGUAAAGCUCUGUUAAUCGGGACGAAAGGCCUUCUUGCGAAUAGGGAGAAGGAUUGACGGUACCGGAAUAGAAAGCCACGGCUAACUACGUG
Molecule: ribosomal RNA, 510 nt
Filed under: uncultured bacterium
Lineage: Bacteria
Description: partial 16S ribosomal RNA
Rfam family: Bacterial small subunit ribosomal RNA
Source: RNAcentral